This is a long non-coding RNA of Panicum virgatum (switchgrass), 252 nucleotides long. RefSeq lists it as uncharacterized. NCBI's taxonomy places the organism in Eukaryota, Viridiplantae, Streptophyta, Magnoliopsida, Poales, Poaceae. The transcript has 3 exons. The record is from RefSeq and is a predicted model, not a curated record.
GUUCAGGAGUGGGGUGAUCCAAGAAAAGAAGAAUACUACUACUAUAUGAAAUCAUACUCUCCCGUUGACAAUGUGGCAGCACAAGAGUAUCCCAACAUUCUUGUCACCGCUGGCUUAAACGAUCCUCGCGUGAUGUACUCUGAACCGGUGAAAUACGUGGCGAAACUGAGGGAGCUGAAGACGGAUGGCAAUCUUCUGUUGUUCAAGUGCGAGCUGGGUGCUAGACACUUCUCCAAGUCGGGAAGGUACAGA